AUUAGAUACCCGGGUAGUCCCAGCCGUAAACGAUGCGCGUUAGGUGUAUCGGUGACCACGAGUCACCGAGGUGCCGAAGGGAAACCGUGAAACGUGCCGCCUGGGAAGUACGGUCGCAAGGCUGAAACUUAAAGGAAUUGGCGGGGGAGCACCACAACAGGUGGAGCCUGCGGUUUAAUUGGACUCAACGCCGGAAAUCUCACCGGAUAAGACAGCUGAAUGAUUGCCGGGCUGAAGACUCUGCAUGACUAGCUGAGAGGAGGUGCAUGGC
This 271-nucleotide ribosomal RNA is filed under the name uncultured archaeon. Its description in RNAcentral is "partial 16S ribosomal RNA". It matches the Rfam family "Archaeal small subunit ribosomal RNA", at positions 728 to 998 of the family's 1478-position model. The record is from RNAcentral.